GCAAGUCGAACGCGAAAGCACCUUCGGGUGCGAGUAGAGUGGCGAACGGGUGCGUAACACGUAGGAAUCUACCUAACAGUGGGGGACAACCCGGGGAAACCCGGGCUAAUACCGCAUACGCCCUACGGGGGAAAGCGGGGGACCUUCGGGCCUCGUGCUGUUAGAUGAGCCUGCGCCGGAUUAGCUUGUUGGUGGGGUAACGGCCUACCAAGGCAACGAUCCGUAGCUGGUCUGAGAGGAUGAUC
This 245-nucleotide ribosomal RNA is filed under the name uncultured bacterium. RNAcentral's name for it is "partial 16S ribosomal RNA". It matches the Rfam family "Bacterial small subunit ribosomal RNA", at positions 57 to 305 of the family's 1533-position model. The record is from RNAcentral.